RNAcentral lists this small RNA (561 nucleotides) under Conidiobolus coronatus. RNAcentral describes it as "eukaryotic LSU rRNA". The stretch from base 90 to 241 matches the Rfam family "5.8S ribosomal RNA". The record is from RNAcentral. Lineage: Eukaryota; Fungi; Entomophthoromycota; Entomophthoromycetes; Entomophthorales; Conidiobolaceae.
UUCAGGCCUAAAAACCUGAAUCUAUAUCAAUGUUAAAUUUUAAUUUAUCAAAACUAUAUUCUAAUUAUUAAUUAAUUUUAAUUUUUAAUAACUAAUACCAAUGGAUCUCUUGGCACUGAUAUCGAUGAAGAACGUUGCAAACUGCGAUAAGUAGUGUGAAUUGCAUCUUUUGUGAAUCAUCAAAUCUUUGAACCCAAAUUGGGCUGGUACCUUAAAUACCAGCAUGUUUGGUUGAGUGUUAUAAAUUAAUAACCGAUGCUUGGUUUUAAUUUAAUUGAGUUUAAUGUUAUUCUUUGAGUAAUGUUAAAAAUUUGAGAAUUCUUAAUACGAUUCUUUAAAUUCAAGCUUAAUAAUUUGAGUAUAAUUUAUUAUACUUAGAUGAUGUUACGCUAAUAGUUAAAUUCAAUAGUUAUUAAUAAGUUUUAGCAUUAAUUUGCUCUAACUUUUAUUAUUAUUGAGUUUUAUCAAGCUAUUAAGUUUAAAAUGUCACCGUAAAGUUAUUAUGUAAAUAAAAUUGAAUAAGUUUACUUAUUCAUUAUAUUGAUGCCUCAACUCAAACAA